RNAcentral lists this ribosomal RNA (795 nucleotides) under uncultured bacterium. Its description in RNAcentral is "bacterial SSU rRNA". It matches the Rfam family "Bacterial small subunit ribosomal RNA", at positions 22 to 827 of the family's 1533-position model. The record is from RNAcentral.
GCUCAGGACGAACGCUGGCGGCGUGCUUAACACAUGCAAGUCGUGGGAGUCUCGCAAGAGGCGACCGGCGAACGGGUGCGUAACACGUGAGUGACCUACCGAUUCGAGGGGGAUAGCCGGCCAAACGGCCGGGUAAUACCGCAUACGGGACCGGAUCUGCAUGGCCUGUUUGGGAACCAUCCGGGGCGGAUCGAGGGGCUCGCGGCCUAUCAGCUAGUUGGCGGGGUAACGGCCAACCAAGGCUACCAGGAUUAGCUGGUCUGAGAGGAUGGCCAGGGACCUUGGGACUGAGAACCGGCCAAGACUCCUACGGGAGGCAGCAGUGGGGAAUAUUGCGCAAUGGCCGCAAGGCUGACGCAGCGACGCCGCGUGUGGGAUGAAGCCAUUCGGGGUGUAACCAACUGUUGCCAGGGACGAACGAGAGGCUUUCGCCUCUGUGACGGUACCGGGUGAGGAAGCACCGGCUAACUCCGUGCCAGCAGCCGCGGUAAUACGGAGGGUGCGAGUGUUGUCCGGAAUCACUGGGCGUAAAGGGCGCGUAGGCGGCUUGGUAAGGGGGCGGUGAACGCCAGGGGCUCAACCACGGGUCUGCCGGACCGACUGCCGAGUUUGAGUACACUAGGGGCAGGUGGAAUUCCGGGUGUAGCGGUGGAAUGCGUAGAGAUCCGGAAGAACACCGGUGGCGAAGGCGGCCUGCCGGGGUGUGGCUGACGCUGAUGCGCGACAGCGUGGGGAGUAACCAGGAUUAGAUACCAUGGUAGUCCACGCCGUAACCGAUGGGCACUAGGUGCUCGG